Molecule: ribosomal RNA, 253 nt
Filed under: uncultured bacterium
Lineage: Bacteria
Description: partial 16S ribosomal RNA
Rfam family: Bacterial small subunit ribosomal RNA
Source: RNAcentral
UACGUAGGGUGCGAGCGUUAAUCGGAAUUACUGGGCGUAAAGGGUGCGCAGGCGGUUGAUUAAGUCAGAUGUGAAAUCCCCGGGCUUAACCUGGGAGCUGCAUUUGAGACUGGUCGGCUGGAGUGUGUCAGAGGGGGGUAGAAUUCCACGUGUAGCAGUGAAAUGCGUAGAGAUGUGGAGGAAUACCGAUGGCGAAGGCAGCAUCCUGGACCGGUAUUGACGCUGAGGCGCGAAAGCCAGGGGAGCAAACGGG